This 241-nucleotide ribosomal RNA is filed under the name uncultured bacterium. RNAcentral describes it as "partial 16S ribosomal RNA". It matches the Rfam family "Bacterial small subunit ribosomal RNA", at positions 109 to 334 of the family's 1533-position model. The record is from RNAcentral.
AGUAACACGUGGGGAAUCUGCCUUUGGGUGGGGAAGUAACGGCGCGAAAGUGUCGCUAAUACCGCAUAACGUACAGAAGCCGCAUGGUUUCUGUGGGAAAGGGGGGGAGUCGAAAGACCUCCCGCCGAGAGAGGAUCCCGCGUCCGAUUAGCUAGUUGGAGGGGUAACGGCCCACCAAGGCGACGAUCGGUAGCCGGCCUGAGAGGGCGGCCGGCCACACUGGCACUGAGAUACGGGCCAG